This 2063-nucleotide long non-coding RNA is filed under the name Homo sapiens (human). RNAcentral describes it as "HSALNT0283943". Lineage: Eukaryota; Metazoa; Chordata; Mammalia; Primates; Hominidae. The record is from RNAcentral.
CCUUAGCUUCAGCUGCAGCUCUGGGGCUGGUACUGUGAACUAAUCAAAGUGACCAAAGGCAAAAGCAUCACUCUUCAAAUCUGCUGCAAGAAUAAAUCAAGAAACCUGAGAGAACCCACAGAACCUCUGAAGGAAGCAGAUUGCUCCUGCAGGACUCAGAAGAUGCCCCAAAUACUGUGCUGGUAUCCACAGCUGAGAGACCCACAGAUGGUUCACAUCACAGGACUCCAUACAGACAGCCCCCAGAAUCAGCUCAGAGCCUGGUAGACCUGCUGGGUGACUAGAUGCAGAAGAGAGAUAACAACUACUACAGCCCGGCUCUCAGGAAGCCACGUCCCUAGGAAAAGGAGGCGAGUACUACAUCAAGGGAACACCUCAUGGGACAAAAUAAUCUGAACAACAGCCUUGAGCCCUAGACCUCUCUUCUGACAGAGCCUACCCAAAUGAGAAGGAACCAGAAAAUCAACUCUGGUAAUGUGACCAAACAACGUUCUUUAACACCCCCCAAAAAUUACACUAGCUCACCAGCAAUGGAUCCAAACCGAGAAGAAAUACCUGAUUUACGUGAAAAAAAUUCAGAAAGUCAGUUAUUAAGCUAAUCAAAAAGGCACCAGAGCCUUCACCAGAAUGAAGCCCUAUUUAAAUAAACUUUAAAAAUACAAGAAAUGAGGGGAGAAAUCAUCAGUUAAAUAGAUAGCAUACAUAAAAACAAUCAAAACUCCAGGAAAAAAUGGACACAUUUAUAGAAAUGCAAAAUUAUUUGGAAAGUCUCAGCAAUAGAAUCAAACAAUCAGAAGAAAGAACUUCAGAGCUCCAAGACAUGGUUUUUGAAUUAACCCAAUCCAACAAAGACAAAGAAAAAAGAAUAAGAAAAUAUAAGCAAAGACUCCAAGAUGUCCGGUAUUAGGUUAAAUGACCAAACCUAAGAAUAAAAAUUGGCAUUCCUGAGGAAGAAGAGAAAUCUAAAAGCAUAAAACACAUUUUGGGAAAUAAUUGAGGAAAACUUCCUCAGCAUUGCUAGAGACCUAGACAUUCAAAUAUAAGAAGUUCAAAGAACACUUUGGAAAUUCAUCACAAAAAGAUCUUCGCCUAGGCACAUUGCCAUCAGGUUAUCUCAAGUUAAGAUGUAGGAAAGAAUCUUAAGAAUUGUGAGGCAAAGGCAUCAGGUAAACUAUGAAGGAAAAUCUAUCAGAUUAACAGCAGAUUUCUCAGCAGAAACCCUACAAGAUAGAAGGGAUUGGGGCCCUAUCAUCAGCCUCCUUAAAAAAAAAAAAAAAAUUAUCAGCCAAGAAUUUGGUAUCCAGCAAAACUAACCUUCAUAAAUGAAGGAAAGAUACAGUCUUUUUCCGACAAAUGCUGACAGAAUUCACCACUACCAAGCCAGCACUACAAGAAUGGCUAAAAUGAGCUCUAAAUCUUGAAACAAAUCCUGGAAACACAUCAAAACAGAACCUCUUUAAAACAUAAAUCUCACAGGACCUAUAAAACAAAAAUACAAUUAAAAAAAAGCAAGGUAUACAGGAAACAAAUAGCAUAAUAAAUGGAAUAGUACCUCACAUCUCAAUACUAAUACUGAUUGUAAAUGUCCUAAAUGCUCCAGUUAAAAGAUACAGAAUUGCAGAAUAGAUAAGAAUUCACCAACCACCUAUGUGCUGCCUUCAAGAGACUCACCUAACACAAGGACUCACAUAAACUUAAGGUAAAGGAAAAAGACAUUCCAUGCAAAUGGACACUAAAAGCGAGCAGGAGUAGCUAGUCUUAUAUUGGACAAAAAAGACUUUAAAGCAACAGCAGUUUAAAAAAGACAAAGAGGGACAUCAUAUAAUGAUAAAAGGCCUUGUCCAACAGGAAAAUAUCACAAUCCUAAAUAUAUAUGCACCUAACACUGGAGUCCAAAAUUUAUAAAACAAUUACUAAUAGACCUAAGAAAUGAGAUAGACAGCAACACAAUAAUAGUGGAGGACUUCAAUGCCCUGCUGACAGCACUAGACAGGUUAUCAAGACAGAAAGUCAACAAAGAAACAAUGGAAAGCCAGGCGCGGUGGCUCACACCUGUAAUCCCA